RNAcentral lists this long non-coding RNA (3875 nucleotides) under Triticum aestivum (bread wheat). RNAcentral describes it as "long non-coding RNA (TAES_LNC017903)". Lineage: Eukaryota; Viridiplantae; Streptophyta; Magnoliopsida; Poales; Poaceae. The record is from RNAcentral.
UUUCUUCGCCCAAUAUUUUUUUAAUAUUCAAAACAAUUCUCCGUAAAGUUUCAAGACAUUUGGAGUUGUGCAGAAUAGGUAUCUCAAAUUUGCUCCUUUCCGGUCCAGAAUUCCAGCUGCCAGCAUUCUCCCUGUAAAAUAAGAGAGAAAAGACAUAAGUAUUGUACCAUAAUGUGAAAUAACAGCCCAUAAUGCAAUAAAUAUCAACAUAAAAACGUGAUGCAAAAUGGAUGUAUCAAACAUUGACUAUCUCAACACAACGAGAGGUAAUUUAGUAACAUGAAGAUUUCUAAAACCAUAUUUUCCUCUCUCAUACAAUUACAUGUAGGAUCAUAAUCAAAUUCAACAAUAUAGCUAUCAUAUAAAAUUUUCUCUUCAUGAUCCACAUGCAUAAAAGUCUUAUAAUCUUCUAAGAUAGUGGAAUUAACAUCAACUAAAGUCAUGACCUCUCCGAACCCACUUUUAUCAAAAAAAAUCAUGAGAUUGAACACUCUCCAAAUACAUGGGAUUAUUUUUACCUAAAGUUGACGCUCUUUCAAACCCACUUUCAAUAUUAUUGCAAACAUUAUUAUCACUAACAUAUUCAUCAUGGGGCUUAAAUAAAUUUUCAAGAUCAUAAGAAGAAUCACCCAAAUCAUGAUCAUUGCAACAAGUAGUGGACAUAGCAAAAUUAGCAUCCCCAAGCUUAGGGUUUUGCAUAUUAUUAGCACAAUUGACAUUGAUAGAGAUUGUAGUGACAUCAUUGCAAUCAUGCUUUUCAUUCAAGGAGCUAUCAUGAAUCACUUUAUAAAUUUCUUCUUUUAACACUUCAUCAAAAUAUUCAGAAUCACGAAUCUCAAGCAAAACUUCAUAAAGCUAAUCUAGUGAACUUAAUUCACUAGCAAUUGGUUCAUCAUAAUUGGAUUUUUUAAAAAUAUUAGUAAGUGGAUGAGGAUCCAUAAGCUUUUUGUUUCUGAUUUCGAAUUAACAUACAAUUAUGCCAAACAAACAAGCAAAGCAACAAAGUAAAACAUUUUUGUGUUUUUCGAUAAGAGAAAGGCCUAGCCUAUCAAAGACUAGCAUCUUGCAGCAUCAGAAGAGAUAAGAGUAACAACAUAAGUAAUAAGUAUGUUCAGUAUCAACGCCCAGAGAUCCUUCCUCGAAUCCCUGUGAGAAAGCAAUCCUGGAGCCAUCAUAUCCAUUUCACAUCUCCAGUAUCUAGUUCUAAUUGUAUCGAUCGGGAUACAACUCCGAGUGUCCGUUACCGUGGACACAGCUAUUCGAAUAGUUAUACUUCGCUGUAGGGGUGCACCAACUUACCCAACACGUUCGAUUAACUCCUGCCAGACACACGAUCAGGUCAUGACCGGCCUUAGCUGAUCGACACACCGUAGUCCUACCUAGGCACAACAGAGAGGCCAGCACGCCGGUCUACAUCCUAAGCACGCAGGGGUCUUGCACCAUCGCCCUUUGCACUCCUGGAUGUUGCGUGUGGCCCGGAGCAGACCCACUCCCUAAUACAAGCGCAGGUGGUCCCCGUCCAACCGGGCGCGCGCCGCCCAAUCGCUGACGUCCGAAGAGCUUUCGGAGGAUCGUACGACCCCGAGUGCCCAUACUUAUUCCCGCGUGGUGGUUAGUGAUAAAAAGGCCAGAGACAUACUCGGAUCACAUAUCCAAACUGCUAGUGUCUUAGGAGCGCGCAGAGACGAUCAAUGAUCCACGAUCUGUGGUCCCGUCACCCCGUCUCACAGACUUACGACAAGGGCUAAGAAUGCCCGGCCAUGCCGCGUAAUUAUCUCGUAGGUACCCUCCAGGUCAACCCGACUCCACAUCACUCGCGGGUACCCUAACGGUCAACCCGACUCACCAGAGACUGUUGGGAACUCAGGUCCACCUCUACCGGGGUGGUACCGCAUGUCCCUCCAGUCUCGCAGAAAUGGUAACUCUUGCGGGUACCCCUCGGGGCCGACCUGACUUCAUCAUGGUUCUGGGUAAACUCAUAGUAACCGUGUGUCCAAAACAGCAAGGGGAAACCCGAGGAAUCACCCUCGAUGGAUUCCCACUCGAUGUAACAGUCAAGGUGAACUUGGAGGAAUCACCCUCGAGGUUCACACUUGAGGUGUUGCACGACAGAGUCGUUAUCGGGAGUGGUGAAGGAGGAAUCACCCUCCGUAGACCACGACCGAUUAACUACACUACAGAGAUCUCAUCAGAAGUGCUAUACGAGGUAUCACUCUUGCACUUGAUAGUAGCUCUACAGAGUCGUACAACUAAGGGGGUGUGAGGUGAUGUGUCGGGCUCAGGACGUCGAUCACGUUGAUCGAGUCAUCGGUCAUAAAGCGGGGGCAACAGUGACAGGGUGAGGGGUCACUGGUGGAUCACCAACCAACCUAUACUAAUCAUAUAGGAUAAGCAGGUAGGUAACAAUAGCAGGUUACAAAAUCUGGCUACGGAUCAGAAUAGGAGCAAUCAAUUAAAGUAGCAAAGUCUAAUGCAAGCAUGAGAGAGAAUGGAAUGGGCGAUAUAGGAAUGAUCAAGGGGGUUUUGCUUGCCUGGAAGCUCUGCAGACAGACUCGGACCCUCGACGGUGAAGUAGUCGAUCUCCAGAUCAACAGCGGUCUCGGGGUCUACCAAAGAAGGAGGGGGAAGAAAUAAUAAAUAACAGGCACACAAACCCAACAGAAAACAUGACACGGUCGUAUGCUAUGCUAGGGGUGACCUAACGCAGUGCUAAGUGUUACACACGGAGCGGGAAAAUAUUCGGGAAUAAUUUCCCUGCUCCAAGCAUUUAUCGAUCAAACGAUCCGGAGGGGCCGGUUCCAUGUUUUCAGUGUUAGAGACAUGUGACAUGUAUGUGGAUAGCAUAUUCGGAUUCGUCAUAUUUUUUUGAUCAUUUUCAAAUAUAAAUUAUUUUCAUCCAAAUUACGGUUUAUUUUCUAUUAAUUUUCAAAGUUUUAAUCAUUUUACGAAUUUUUGGAUUUAAUUUAAUUCGAAAUUAUAUUAAAUAUAAUACUAUGGGUCCACAGUAAAUGUACCCAGAUGUGUGCCUUAGUGACUCACAGUAGACCCAGUUAACCAGCCAGCCCUAUCCAUCUAAACGGUACCAAGGCCCCACUUGUCAUUGACUGCGGGUUUUACAGAGGGUUAAUUUUAAAACGGGGUUAAUUAGAGGUGUUGGCCCGAUGUGUCAAUGGGUUUGGGGGUGAUAGGUGCCCAGGUUAGUGGUCUGACGGCCCACCUGGCAGUGGCCCAUGGCGGCAGCGCACCGGCAGCAUGGCUCCGGCGACCAUAAACGCGGUGGCGCGACACGGGAGCUCCCCGGUUUUUCUACGGUGGCUCAUCGGGCGUGGCUAGGUGCUACGGGAUCCCGUUGCUCGCGCGCAUUCGAUGGUGGCGGUGGUUGGCGUCGAGGUGGCCGGAGGUGGCAUCGGCGAUGAGCCCGAGCAACGGCGAGAGUUGGGCGUCCAACAAAAUGAGCAUAGCGGCUCGGUUUCGACGAGCUAGCUGGCUGGAAGGCUCCUACGAGAGGCCACGAGCGCGCUGGCGUGCUCGGUUGAGCUGGAGAAGCACGGCAGCAGUGGCACAACAAGCAGCGGCGGCGGCCUACUACGGCGGUCAUGACGACAGCAGCUAGGGGCGGAGGAACGAGGCGGAAACAGAGGUGAAGGAGGCGAAUCUCACCAGGGAGCACAAGGGUGGCUUGUUGGCGGCUUAGGAGCUGCAGGCCGACCGGAAUCGAGGGAGCUCGCCGGCGGAGCAGAGGAAGAAGACGGGGACGCGGAGGUCGUUGUGGUGGCUCCAGGAUCCAAUGGAUGGCACCAGGCGACGGUGUGGUCGAAGAGAAGCGGAUGGGCAGGGAGACGCGGCGCGGUGAGGCCAGUGGCCGCGGGAUCGGC